GGACUACGGUGGCCGCGAGAGUGGGGGUGCUGCUGGGGCUCUGUCGGGCUGGGGUCGCCAUGGGCAACCUGUUCGGCCGCAAGAAGCAGAGCCGGGUGACGGAGCAGGACAAGGCCAUCCUGCAACUGAAGCAGCAGCGGGACAAGCUGAAGCAGUACCAAAAGAGGAUCACCCAGCAGCUGGAGCGGGAGCGGGAGAUUGCCCGGCAGCUCCUGCGGGACGGCCGGAAGGAACGGGCCAAGCUGCUGCUUAAGAAGAAGCGAUACCGGGAGCAGCUCCUGGACAAGACGGAGAACCAGAUCACCAGCCUGGAGACAAUGGUCCAGAGUAUUGAGUUCACCCAGAUUGAAAUGAAGGUGAUUGAAGGGCUGCAGUUUGGAAAUGAGUGUCUGAAUAAGAUGCACCAGGUGAUGUCCAUAGAAGAAGUGGAACGGAUCCUGGACGAGACCCAGGAGGCUGUGGAGUAUCAGCGGCAAAUAGAUGAGCUGUUGGCAGGAAGCUUCACUCAGGAGGACGAAGAUGCCAUCCUGGAGGAACUGAACGCCAUCACUCAGGUAAUGGGCCCCCCAGGAUGAAGCGCAGUCACUCAGGUGAUAGGACCACCGGGACUGAGCACAAUCACUCAGGUGCUAGGACCCUCAGGACUGAGCACAAUCACUCAGGUUAAGGACCCCCAGGACUGAGCACAAUCACUCAGGUGCUAGGACCCCCCGGACUGAGCACAAUCUUUCAGGUUAAGGACCCCUGGGACUGAGCACAAUUACUCAGGUUAAGGACCCCCAGGACUGAGCACAAUCACUCAGAUGCUAGGACCCGCAGGAGGCCUCUGCCCAUCGUGGUUGUUUGCCUUGGGCAACCACCUGCAUUGGGGUUCACUUGAGCGCACAGUCCUGGUUUUGCAGCUGGUUUUCCUUCCUGAAAUGACUAACAUUUGUGCCCAACUGAGGCUCAUUCUCCACGUCCACCUGGCUGACAGCAGGCCUGGAAAGAACAGUUGAGGGUGGUUUACCCGAGUGUUGCAGGCAGCUGGAGUGACCUGUAACCAAGUGUGCCUGGACAGGGCAGAAAUGCCAAUUCCUAGCCCCUUCGGCCCCUUCCUUCCCCGGUGGACCAUAAUGUGGUUUUUGAUCACAUGGGUGUUUUUUCCGCACUUGUGUAUGGGUCACUCACUGUCAUGCACCUGGCCUGCACACGUUGGUGCUGGAGGCCCCUAAUGGGCUGGACUGUCACGUCCAGGCCCUGAGGUCUGUGUUUACUCCCUGAUGGAGGAAGCCUCCAUCUCUGGGCCUCUGGCUCAGCGUGCCAGAUCCUGCCUUGCCCACCAGCCCACUGUGCCCACCAGCCUGCCAUCCCCGUCCUGCAGGCUGACCCAGGAAGAGCAGGUAUUAGUGCCGCUGCUCGCUGCCCUUGGUUGUCCCCUGUGCCCCUGCUAAUUUACUUCCUCCCAAGGGCCUAAGUGCCUCGUGAGCUGCCAGGGAAGGCCAGCUGGGAGGUAAAAGUGCCACAUGUUGCCCGAGAGGCAGCCCAGCGCUCACUGGGACUGCCAGCUCCACCACAGACCCGCCCCAGAGUGCUGCCACCUCAGGGAAACCAUAGCAGAGGCGCCGCUGCUGCUCCUGGCCCUUUAUGGAUGCCAGAAUGACCUGGGCGCCUGCUUCAAAGCCCACGGUCCUAGCAUCGCCUGAUCUGAGCUGAGAUCUCUGGGGAAGCCCCUCAGGCUCUGGACCGUAGGGAGAAGCUACCCUGUAGUGGCCACUUUGCCCCCCGGGUGAAUCGAGUCUCAGAGCUGCCGGAAGCUGAGGAAGAUGCACUCUGGGGCUUUUGGGCAGGAAGAUUCUGUUUGUUUUAAAUCCAGCCGAGAGCAGCUAAGUAAACAGGAUCCUUUCCUCUCCUAGAGAAAGAUAAAGGUGCACCUAACGGAUUGUAUCUCACGGCCUUUCCUCUCUGUUUCUUAUAGGAACAAAUAGAGCUGCCAGAGGUUCCUUCAGAGCCCCUUCCCGAAAAGAUCCCAG
Molecule: RNA transcript, 2012 nt
Organism: Diceros bicornis minor
Lineage: Eukaryota; Metazoa; Chordata; Mammalia; Perissodactyla; Rhinocerotidae
Gene: CHMP6
Gene name: charged multivesicular body protein 6
Exons: 7
Source: RefSeq, a predicted model, not a curated record